CUCUACUAAACAUAGAAAAAUUCAGUCUUCCUUCCUAGCCAUGGAAGAGCAUAUUCUUGUUUAUUGGCAAAGCUGUCACCAUUUAAUGGGUAUCAGAUUCUGACUUGCACAAGUCACAUUC
This is a small nucleolar RNA of Otolemur garnettii (small-eared galago), 121 nucleotides long. The record is from Ensembl. NCBI's taxonomy places the organism in Eukaryota, Metazoa, Chordata, Mammalia, Primates, Galagidae.